AUGUUUUUAGGAAGCUCGGAAGCUUGAAUUUUUGAACUGUUUUGACCAUGUCCCCAGUGAAAAAUACCAUGAUUAGGGAAAUGGCAGAAACAGUGUGUUUUUCCCCAAUCUGUUCCAUUGAUGUUGUUUUUCUUUUUCUUGUUUUCUUCUAAAGGUCAGUGAAAUUUUCUGUUGCAUAAAUUUUAUUGACUUUACUCAUUGCAGUCAGGCUUGUGAGGGAGAUUCUGAGACUCUGGGCACCAUCAGUGCCAGAAAGUCAGAAGAAACCCUCCUCCCACAUGAGUGGGAAUAAUGGUGACCCAGCUUUUGAGAGACCUCACUGAAUUGAAUUCCUUGAAAAAUAUACCCUUGGGCUGUGGUUGCUGAGCACUUGAGAACACAUAUGAUUGAUGACACGGUCAUUAGGAGCAUGAUUAAGAGCAGCCAGGAUUUCCAUUUACCACCUUGGCCUUUUGCAGUGCCUGCUACUCAGGCCUGCUCUCAGGACCACCACUGCUGUGCACAAUGGCUGUGAGGGGGCCUGGGAGCUGUGAUUAAUUCAGCUGGCAACAUGAUGCUGGCUCUCUUCUUUGAUUGCUGCUGAUGAAUAGUAUUUUAAAAGCUAAGAAUGCAUUAAGCGCUUUGCUAUAGCUCCUCUGCAGUCUGAGGGCCAGCAGCACAGCUGUGCUCCGUUCACAGUGGGUGCAGCUCAAGAACCAAGAGGAAGGAAGCGAGACAGCUUUUAGCUUGACUUGAAUUGUGGAUUCUGCUUAUUUUGGGAAGUGUCUGGGGGCACAGGCACCAGUCUCCCAGUGCUGAGAGCAGGGAGGGUGCUGCUGAUGGGGUUUUGGGCCUCAGCAGGAUUCACAUUCUCCUGUUCUCGCUGCUUUGGCAUGUUAAAAUAACAAGUUGUUGCUCAAGCAGUGGGAAGCAAAUAAAGCAGAGCUCACACGCCAGCUGAGACUAAGACAAGGCACUGCAUGGAUCUCUGGUCAAGAACAGAAGAGCUGCAUCUUGGAAGAAAGGUGCUGCUGCUCUCAGGAUGUGCCCCAGCAAGAAGAGAGAAUGAGCACCUUGAGCUCGAGCGCUGCCGACUGCAGGGUGGCUGGAGUUGGGUGUUCUGCUCACAGGCAGAAGAAAACCACUUCAAGACAUCAAGAAGAGCCAACUGAGCCUAAUCCCAUUUUCCCUAGGACCUGGCAGCCAUUCAGGACUGCUUCUAUUGUAUUUACGUGGAAUUUGGUCACCUGUGGCUUCAGGCAGCCCAAAUCUCUCAGGAUGUGCAGGACAGGGAUGUGUUCCCGUUUCACACGAGGCCUCACGCUGAGGCUCCACAGUUGGCAUCAGUGCCCAAGAGCAGAUCUACAGUAUGAAUGUCCUUCCUGGAGGUAUUUCUGCAGAUGUGGAAGAAGGACCAACCCAGCUGAUUGUGGGGGAUUACAGCUAUUAACCAGGUUGCCAUGAAGUGUCGGAGCUGCCUGGAAGGCCAUAACCAAACGACUGCCAGCUCGGCUGCCAUCGAUUUUCACGGAGCAGGACCCAGCCCUGGGUAAUAAAGUGUAAAAACACGAUUCCCCCAAAAGGAAUAGCACAAUGGGAUGACAAAAGUAGCGACCAGCAUGGAGUUGUUUCAUAUUCCUUUGCAUCCUUGACAUCCCCACCCCAUUGUGUGGCUGCAGUGCUGAUUUAGGGCUACAGGCAAAGAGCCCACGCUGGAGGGUGGGCUGAUCACCACCCAGAGAGAAAAAAUAAGUCAGUGAAUGUUUGUUGCAUUACUCUGAUAUUCUACUACUUCAGCUAUUCACAGUUUAUGAGCAGCUAUUUCCUUUUUCAGUCUGUUAUUUAAAACGAGAGCUCCUGUUAAAGCUGUGUGAAAUACAGAUUUCCUUUGGAUUUACUGCCUAAACAAAACGUAAUGCUUUGGAUGAACAUUUUUU
Molecule: non-coding RNA, 1916 nt
Organism: Cyanistes caeruleus (blue tit)
Lineage: Eukaryota; Metazoa; Chordata; Aves; Passeriformes; Paridae
Source: RefSeq, a predicted model, not a curated record